RNAcentral lists this ribosomal RNA (506 nucleotides) under uncultured bacterium. Its description in RNAcentral is "partial 16S ribosomal RNA". It matches the Rfam family "Bacterial small subunit ribosomal RNA", at positions 29 to 523 of the family's 1533-position model. The record is from RNAcentral.
AUUGAACGCUGGCGGCAGGCCUAACACAUGCAAGUCGGACGGUAGCACAGAGGAGCUUGCUCCUCGGGUGACGAGUGGCGUACGGGUGAGUAAUGUCUGGGGAUCUGCCCGAUAGAGGGGGAUAACCACUGGAAACGGUGGCUAAUACCGCAUAACGUCGCAAGACCAAAGAGGGGGACCUUCGGGCCUCUCACUAUCGGAUGAACCCAGAUGGGAUUAGCUAGUAGGCCGGGUAACGGCCCACCUAGGCGACGGUCCCUAGCUGGCCUGAGGGGAUGACCAGCCACACUGGAACUGAGAAACGGUCCAGACUCCUACGGGAGGCAGCAGUGGGGAAUAUUGCACAAUGGGCGCAAGCCUGAUGCAGCCAUGCCGCGUGUAUGAAGAAGGCCUUCGGGUUGUAAAGUACUUUCAGCGGGGAGGAAGGCGAUGUGGUUAAUAACCGCAUUGAUUGACGUUACCCGCAGAAGAAGCACCGGCUAACUCCGUGCCAGCAGCCGCAGUAA